Molecule: unclassified non-coding RNA, 290 nt
Filed under: Hevea brasiliensis (rubber tree)
Lineage: Eukaryota; Viridiplantae; Streptophyta; Magnoliopsida; Malpighiales; Euphorbiaceae
Source: RNAcentral
GACUUAGUGAUGAUAGUAAUUGGAGUAACAUCACUGGCAGUGCCAAUAAGCCUCACAAAGGAAAUGAUCCUAGAUGGAAGGCUAUUCUCGCAAUUCGGGCACGUGAUGGUAUAUUAGGCAUGAGCCACUUUAAGUUACUCAAAAGACUUGGUUGUGGAGACAUUGGAAGUGUUUAUCUUUCUGAGCUUAGCGGGACUCGCUGCUAUUUUGCAAUGAAAGUGAUGGAUAAGGCAUCACUUGCAAGUAGGAAAAAAUUAACCCGUUCUCGGACAGAAAAAGAAAUCCUUCAG